Molecule: ribosomal RNA, 437 nt
Filed under: uncultured bacterium
Lineage: Bacteria
Description: bacterial SSU rRNA
Rfam family: Bacterial small subunit ribosomal RNA
Source: RNAcentral
UACGGAAGGCAGCAGUGGGGAAUAUUGGACAAUGGGCGGAAGCCUGAUCCAGCCAUGCCGCGUGUGUGAAGAAGGCCUUUUGGUUGUAAAGCACUUUUAAGCGAGGAGGAGGCUACUAGUACUAAUACUACUGGAUAGUGGACGUUACUCGCAGAAUAAGCACCGGCUAACUCUGUGCCAGCAGCCGCGGUAAUACAGAGGGUGCGAGCGUUAAUCGGAUUUACUGGGCGUAAAGCGUGCGUAGGCGGCUGAUUAAGUCGGAUGUGAAAUCCCUGAGCUUAACUUGGAAUUGCAUUCGAUACUGGUCAGCUAGAGUAUGGGAGAGGAUGGUAGAAUUCCAGGUGUAGCGGUGAAAUGCGUAGAGAUCUGGAGGAAUACCGAUGGGCGAAGGGCAGCCAUCUGGGCCUAAUACUGACGCUGAGUCGAAAGCAUGGGGA